ACAGAGGGUGCAAACGUUGUUCGGAAUUACUGGGCAUAAAGCGCACGUAGGUGGUCCGCUAAGUCGCGUGUGAAAUCCCCCGGCUCAACCGGGGAAAUGCGCGUGAUACUGGCGGGCUUGAGAUCGGGAGGGGUGAAUGGAACUCCAGGUGGAGCGGUGAAAUGCGUAGAUAUCUGGAGGAACACCGGUGGCGAAAGCGGUUCACUGGCCCGACACUGACACUGAGGUGCGAAAGCUAGGGUAGCAAACGGGAUUAGAUACCCCGGUAGUCCUAGCCGUAAACGAUGGGUACUGGGCAGGGGGAAUAUCUAUGUUCUCUCUGCCGGAGCUAAUGUGUUAAGUACCCCGCCUGGGGAGUACGCUCGCAAGGGUA
Molecule: ribosomal RNA, 373 nt
Filed under: uncultured bacterium
Lineage: Bacteria
Description: bacterial SSU rRNA
Rfam family: Bacterial small subunit ribosomal RNA
Source: RNAcentral